GGCUCAGGAUGAACGCUGGCGGGUGCUUAACACAUGCAAGUCGAACGAUGAAGCCCAGCUUGCUGGGUGGAUAGUGGCGAACGGGUGAGUAACACGUGAGUAACCUGCCCUUAACUCUGGGAUAAGCCUGGGAAACUGGUCCUAAUACCGGAUAAGGAGCGUCCACCGCAUGGUGGGUGUUGGAAGAUUUAUCGGUUUUGGAUGGACUCGCGGCCUAUCAGCUUGUUGGUGAGGUAAUGGCUCACCAAGGCGACGACGGGUAGCCGGCCUGAGAGGGUGACCGGCCACACUGGGACUGAGACACGGCCCAGACUCCUACGGGAGGCAGCAGUGGGGAAUAUUGCACAAUGGGCGAAAGCCUGAUGCAGCGACGCCGCGUGAGGGAUGACGGCCUUCGGGUUGUAAACCUCUUUCAGUAGGGAAGAAGCGAAAGUGACGGUACCUGCAGAAGAAGCACCGGCUAACUACGUGCCAGCAGCCGCGUAAUACGUAGGGUGCGAGCGUUAUCCGGAAUUAUUGGGCGUAAAGAGCUCGUAGGCGGUUUGUCGCGUCUGUCGUGAAAGUCCGGGGCUUAACCCCGGAUCUGCGGUGGGUACGGGCAGACUAGAGUGCAGUAGGGGAGACUGGAAUUCCUGGUGUAGCGGUGGAAUGCGCAGAUACAGGAGGAACACCGAUGGCGAAGGCAGGUCUCUGGGCUGUAACUGACGCUGAGGAGCGAAAGCAUGGGGAGCGAACAGGAUUAGAUACCCUGGUAGUCCAUGCCGUAAACGUUGGGCACUAGGUGUGGGGACCAUUCCACGGUUUCCGCGCCGCAGCUAACGCAUUAAGUGCCCCGCCCUGGGGAGUACGGCCGCAAGGCUAAAACUCAAAGGAAUUGACGGGGGCCCGCACAAGCGGCGGAGCAUGCGGAUUAAUUCGAUGCAACGCGAAGAACCUUACCAAGGCUUGACAUGUUCCCGAUCGCCGUAGAGAUACGAUUUCCCCUUUGGGGCGGGUUCACAGGUGGUGCAUGGUUGUCGGUCAGCUCGUGUCGUGAGAUGUUGGGUUAAGUCCCGCAACGAGCCGCAACCCUCGUUCCAUGUUGCCAGCACGUAAUGGUGGGGACUCAUGGGAGACUGCCGGGGUCAACUCGGGGAAGGUGAGGACGACGUCAAAUCAUCAUGCCCCUUAUGUCUUGGGCUUUCACGCAUGCUACAAUGGGCCGGUACAAUGGGUUGCGAUACUGUGAGGUGGAGCUAAAUCCCAAAAAGCCGCGUCUCAGUUCGGAUUGGGGUCUGCAACUCGACCCCAUGAAGUCGGAGUCGCUAGUAUUCGCAAUCAGCAACGCUGCGUGAAUACGUUCCCGGGCCUUGUACACACCCCCGUCAAGUCACGAAAG
This 1378-nucleotide ribosomal RNA is filed under the name Micrococcus luteus. RNAcentral describes it as "16S ribosomal RNA". It matches the Rfam family "Bacterial small subunit ribosomal RNA". The record is from RNAcentral. Lineage: Bacteria; Bacillati; Actinomycetota; Actinomycetes; Micrococcales; Micrococcaceae.